Molecule: ribosomal RNA, 254 nt
Filed under: uncultured bacterium
Lineage: Bacteria
Description: partial 16S ribosomal RNA
Rfam family: Bacterial small subunit ribosomal RNA
Source: RNAcentral
UACGGAGGAGGCAAGCGUUAUCCGGAAUUAUUGGGCGUAAAGCGUCCGUAGAUGGUCGUUUCAAGUCUGCUGUCAAAGACCGGGGCUUAACCCCAGAAAGGCGGUGGAAACUGAACAGCUAGAGAGAGGUAGGGGUAGAGGGAAUUCCCAGUGUAGCGGUGAAAUGCGUAGAGAUCGGGAAGAACAUCGGUGGCGAAAGCGCUCUGCUGGACUGCAACUGACACUCAGGGACGAAAGCUAGGGGAGCGAAUGGG